AACGCACAUUGCACUCUAUUCUGUAGAGUAUGCCUGUUUGAGAAUCUAUAGUAUUUCUUUUAGAAAUUGUUUUCAGUUUCUAAAGAUAUGAGGAGUCUCUGUUUUACGACAGAGUACCUUGAAAUAGAUUAUCUGCAGUAGAGUUGAUGCUUGACGUCUCUCAAACAACAGAACAGUAUUUGAAUGGUUCUUUAACCUCGAUGCCUAAUAAGUUGUCUGGAGAAUUAGUUGACAAAACUGUGGAUCCAACCUAGAGAGCUAUGCUCUGAACCUUGGUCUCAAAUCAGGUAGGAAGACCCGCUGAACUUAA
This 310-nucleotide unclassified non-coding RNA is filed under the name uncultured fungus. RNAcentral describes it as "partial contains 5.8S ribosomal RNA, internal transcribed spacer 2, and large subunit ribosomal RNA". The record is from RNAcentral. Lineage: Eukaryota; Fungi.